AGGGUUUAAGGUUUAGGGUUCAGUUAACGCGACUGCCGACAACGGCGGAUUCCGACAAAACUGAUACCCAUCCACACUCAAAUCCCUCUUCACCACAAAAUGCCCCAAUGAACCAACCCUUUCCACCAAAUUCUCACUACACAAAAACUCAUCACUACUAACUUUCUCCACCUCCCUAUCAAACUCAUGAACAAACACAUGCGUUUUAUCGGUUCCUACACUUCUUGCUAACACGCCCGCCGUAAAGAUCGCCGACAAUCGCCCAGGCGCUUUCGGGAAGUACCCGCGCGGUCCGUCCACCAAAAUAACAUCCCAAGCGACGUCGUAUACAUGAUUCGGUAAAUCAUUAAUCGCCAGUUUACAUUCGGAGAAUAGUAAAUUCUGCACGGGUCUACACUCGUUUCUUAGUUCGGAUCUCGCAUAAUUCAUUAACUCUUUCAGUUCGGAUACUUUCGUAGUGAACUGAACAUCGUACGCUUCGAUACCCGGGUGUUUUUCUUCUAGUUUAGAUAUAAAAUACGGGUUCUCGUCCACAAACGUAGUACGGCCGUAUACGUUGAGGGCGUGCCAGAGUAGGGUUUCGUGGGUGAGACCGAAGACGAGGAAAUUACAUCCGGCGGAGCAGCGGCGGAGGACGGUGGCGAUGGAGGUGAGUUCGGCGGGGGUCAUACGAGGUGGGGUUGUGAGGUUUGGGGCGGUGGUGGUGGCGUAGUGGAGGAGGGCGUCGUGUACGGUGGUGGGUAGUGGGUGGGGGGUGGUGGUGGGGGUGGGGGUGGUGGUGGUGUACGGGAGGGUGGUGAUGAGAGAGAAAGUUAAGAGGAGAGAGAGGAGGAUGAAGAGGGUGAAGAGAGAGAGUGUGGAGAGAGAUAGUGAGAGAGAGAGAGAGAUUUAAGGUGACAGAGAAAGGGAGGGCUCAUAUCACGAGGUUAUUAGUAGUAGCAGGAUUGUGACCCACAAUUCGAAAAUAAAUACACCGUCUUUGUUAUUUAUUUAUUGUGUAAGAAUAUCACGGAAUUUUUAUGUAAGAAUAAUAAGAUAAUGAAAUGCGUGUCUAACUCACCUGC
This 1064-nucleotide long non-coding RNA is filed under the name Helianthus annuus (common sunflower). RNAcentral's name for it is "hypothetical non coding rna". Lineage: Eukaryota; Viridiplantae; Streptophyta; Magnoliopsida; Asterales; Asteraceae. The record is from RNAcentral.